AGGUACGUGUAGUCGGGCUGCCUUCCUUCAGGAAUCUGUGGAAAAAAUUGCUGCCCCACAUCUCAAGCACUAAACCCAGCACAGACCUGUGCUGGCAGUGCCAGAGGAACAACUAUCAGGUCUUCAGAUCUGCCAAUCUGCCAGAUGCUGUUAAGUCAGCCAAGCUGAAGAAGCAAGAGCAGCAAGAGCAGCAUCUCCUGCUUGUUCAGAGUGAGCGGUCUGUCUAGCAGAAGACGGUUGCUGACUGCAAGACCACCUGUCAAGACCUGCAGUUACCUCUGGGGGCCCUACUGAACCAGCAAGCAAAGACAUCAGGAUGCAUUACAGCUUUGAUUUUGCUCAACAAGUGCACUAGCCUGCAGCCAGGUGCACUAGCCUGCAGCCAGGUCCCAUCUACUUCUUUACUCCUCGGAAGUGUGGCUUGUUUGGUGUCUGCUGUGAAGGAAUACCACAACAAGUCAACUACUUGAUUGAUGAAGGCAUGUUGUCCAGCAAAGUGAAGGACAGCACUCUGACAGGGGUCAACAUCCCACAGCUGGUUGGACUGGAGGAUGGUACGGUGCUGGUGGAAAGCUAUGGCUGGCAACAACACCUGACUCUCUACUUCAGGCCGCUGCUGCAGAUCAAACAGUACCGGCACUUCACCUUUAAUGCUCUGGAGCCUGGUGUUGUCGGCAAGGAGCGUUCGGACUCAGUCAGGACCAGGUUUCAGCAGCUGUGCAACGCUGACAUCCUUCCUCCCAUAGAUGGUCUGCCUGUACAAGCACCACCUGGACUGGACACAGCUAGACAAACAUAUAUUUUUGAGAAGAUAAGGGAGUUUUGUUACAAAGAGACUAUGGACGUCACAUGCCCUGCAACAAAGUCAAGGGCAGGACAGAAACAGGCUCUCCGAAUAUAGAUUCCCUUGUUCAUGCAUGGUUCGGACAGACCAGUUAUGUUUUACUUUUACUUCACUACAUUCUGAAUAAAAAUAUGUAUUUUUUACUCCAUACAUUUUCCCUGACACUGAAAGUACUUGCUACAUUUUGACAGGAAAAUUGUUAAAUUCACACAUUAAUCAAUAGAACAUCCCUGGCCAUCCCUACUGCAUCUGAUCUGGCAGACUCACUAAACACAAGUCCUUUGUUUGUAAAUUACGUAAUAAAGAAAUACACAUAAAAUUGUGCCAUCUGGUUUAUUA
Molecule: long non-coding RNA, 1183 nt
Filed under: Oncorhynchus mykiss (rainbow trout)
Lineage: Eukaryota; Metazoa; Chordata; Actinopteri; Salmoniformes; Salmonidae
Description: lncRNA (ENSOMYG00000003204.2)
Source: RNAcentral